Molecule: long non-coding RNA, 510 nt
Organism: Notolabrus celidotus (New Zealand spotty)
Lineage: Eukaryota; Metazoa; Chordata; Actinopteri; Labriformes; Labridae
Exons: 2
Source: RefSeq, a predicted model, not a curated record
CCUGUGGCAGCAUGGUUGCCUUUUGGCCUUGUCUGCUUGCUGGUUGGCACAUGUUCCUUGCACUAAGGAGCCCCCUGUCUGCCUCUCUGCCUCAGGUGAACUGGUGUCAGGUUUGUUAGGGUUUGUCUUUAUCAAAUAUUGUUCAUUCAUUGCUGAGAUGUGGAGAUAUUUUAAAGGACCCAGCUUAUCUCUUGUAUUUAGUGUCUGGGCACUGGGACACAGUAGUUUGCACUUGUCUGUGAUUACUGUGAGUUCACAAGUGGUGUGCAAGUUGCACUGCUGGAACACACCCUUUCAUGUCAGGCUGCCUCCCCUCUGCUGGCACCCCUCACUUCCAUUUUGCUUUUUUGAAAUGACCUUUGAUUGGAAGUGUCCUAUCUGAACUGACUAAUUUACCUCCUUACAGCAAUAACUAACCAUCCUCUCUUCCCAGAUACUUCCAGUCUAAAUAAAGAAACUUGCAAUGUCUUUUGGAACCACGUCUCUGUCUCAAUAAAGGUGUUGAACCUG